Molecule: ribosomal RNA, 913 nt
Filed under: Phialemonium thermophilum
Lineage: Eukaryota; Fungi; Ascomycota; Sordariomycetes; Cephalothecales; Cephalothecaceae
Description: LSU rRNA
Rfam family: Eukaryotic large subunit ribosomal RNA
Source: RNAcentral
GCAUAUCAAUAAGCGGAGGAAAAAGAAACCAACAGGGAUUGCCCUAGUAACGGCGAGUGAAGCGGCAACAGCUCGAAUUUGAAAUCUGGCUCCCUUUGGGGGUCCGAGUUGUAAUCUGCAGAGGAUGCUUCGGGCGAGGUUCCCACCGAGUUCCCUGGAACGGGACGCCACAGAGGGUGAGAGCCCCGUAUGGUGGGAGGCCAAGCCUGUGUGAAGCUCCUUCGACGAGUCGAGUAGCUUGGGAAUGCUGCUCUAAAUGGGAGGUAGACUUCUUCUAAAGCUAAAUACCGGCCAGAGACCGAUAGCGCACAAGUAGAGUGAUCGAAAGAUGAAAAGCACUUUGAAAAGAGGGUCAAACAGUACGUGAAAUUGUUGAAAGGGAAGCGCCUAUGGCCAGACUUGCGCCGGGCCGAUCAUUCAGCGGUCUCCGCUGGUGCACUCGGCCCGUUGCAGGCCAGCGUCGGCUGUCCUGGGGGGAUAAAAGCAGUGGGAACGUAGCUCCCUCCGGGGAGUGUUAUAGCCCGCUGCACAAUACCUCCGGGGCGGCCGAGGUCCGCGCCCUCGUGGCAAGGACGCUGGCGUAAUGGCCAUCAGCGACCCGUCUUGAAACACGGACCAAGGAGUCGAGGUUUUACGCGAGUGUUCGGGUGUCAAGCCCCAGCGCGUAAUGAAAGUGAACGUAGGUGGGAGCCUUCGGGCGCACCAUCGACCGAUCCUGAUGUCUUCGGAUGGAUUUGAGUAAGAGCGUAAAGCCUCGGACCCGAAAGAUGGUGAACUAUGCCUGUAUAGGGUGAAGCCCAGAGGAAACUCUGGUGGAGGCUCGCAGCGGUUCUGACGUGCAAAUCGAUCGUCAAAUAUGGGCAUGGGGGGCGAAAGACUAAUCGAAACCAUCUAGUAGCUGGGUUACCGCCGA